GACGAACGCUGGCGGCGUGCUUAACACAUGCAAGUCGAGCGGUAAGGCCCUUUCGGGGGUACACGAGCGGCGAACGGGUGAGUAACACGUGGGUGACCUGCCCUCAGCUCUGGGAUAAGCCUGGGAAACCGGGUCUAAUACCGGAUAUGACUCCAUGACGCAUGUUGUGGGGUGGAAAGCCUUGUGCGGCUGAGGAUGGGCCCGCGGCCUAUCAGCUUGUUGGUGGGGUGANGGCCUACCAAGGCGACGACGGGUAGCCGGCCUGAGAGGGCGACCGGCCACACUGGGACUGAGACACGGCCCAGACUCCUACGGGAGGCAGCAGUGGGGAAUCUUGCGCAAUGGGCGAAAGCCUGACGCAGCGACGCCGCGUGAGGGAUGA
Molecule: ribosomal RNA, 382 nt
Filed under: uncultured bacterium
Lineage: Bacteria
Description: bacterial SSU rRNA
Rfam family: Bacterial small subunit ribosomal RNA
Source: RNAcentral